RNAcentral lists this long non-coding RNA (1010 nucleotides) under Homo sapiens (human). RNAcentral's name for it is "non-protein coding lnc-RAD23B-1:1". Lineage: Eukaryota; Metazoa; Chordata; Mammalia; Primates; Hominidae. The record is from RNAcentral.
CUGAGGGCCUGGGUUUGAACUUGGAGUCCGUCGGGCCCCAAUUGUUAUCUUCACAGCCACAUCAGCUGGGUGACCUCAGCCAAAUCAGUCUACCUCUGCUCUUGUUUUCUCAUCUGCAAAAUAGAGCUGCGGAUGCCUGCCCCAGGUUGCUGGUGGAGAUCAAGUGAGAGAGUGGAUUGAAAACAUCUUUACAAAGGCCAGGUUUGGUUUUGGAUGUGGGUGCCAACUGCCUACCCUGAAGUCAAAGACCGUCUGGGAAGAGAAGUUCUCUUUGCCUUUCUCCCACGACGAGCGUGUUGCUGAGUUAUUUCCAGGAGCGUGGGGCCACAGGAUUGGCAGCUGCAUCCAACCUCCAGGUCAAAUUUGGCAGAGAACCAAGCAAUCCUGUCAAACAGAAUGCCCACUGCUGCUCCUUCCCAUCUCGAGGAACUGUCUCUUCUCAAUGUUUUCUUUUGAUUUCCUCUGACAGUCUUGCUGCUCUUCCAGAGGCACAGGAACUCAAAAUUGGGAAGGGUUUGAAGGUGACCCCCACGAUCAAGUGCAGUGCCUCCCGCACGCGUGACUUCCAGCCUCCACAUGCACACUUCCAAUAACUGCACACACACCCUCCAGCUCAGGCCUCUUGGAUUUCAGACACUCCAGUGGUUGAAGGGUCGCUAUGUUAGGAUCUCUGAUCUUCCUCUCUAACCAGGCUAUCCUCAGGUUCUAGUUCACUUCUGGGGGUCACCCUGAGCCAAUGUAACCCCUCUUUCCUGUGUCAAUCCUUUAGGUCUUUGAGAAGAGUGGUUGCGUUUUCUCUGACCGUGUCCCACCCUCUGGCCAAGCCUUCAGCUGAAAAGAGUCCCUCAGUUGGGGCGAGUGUAUUGAGUCCUUCAUUCAGAUGAACCCGAUACUUCAGGAGGGGCUGAGCAAUAGGCACUACAGGGGAGCCCUCACCUCCCUUGUUCUGUGCAUAAUACCUCUAUUAAUACAGCCUAAAUUUGGUCUUGCUGAUUUGGCAGCCACAUCAC